This is a long non-coding RNA of Dreissena polymorpha, 568 nucleotides long. RefSeq lists it as uncharacterized. NCBI's taxonomy places the organism in Eukaryota, Metazoa, Mollusca, Bivalvia, Myida, Dreissenidae. The record is from RefSeq and is a predicted model, not a curated record. The transcript is spliced from 3 exons.
UGUAGAGAUGUUUAACGCAAUUUCGAGCGGUAACUUCCCAGUCCCUUCUGGAGCUGUAUUCACCGACGUCAUGGUUGAUUUGGCGACUUAUCGACGAUUACAUCCAUAUGAUAGAUCUGCUCACCCAUUGUUUUCGCCUCAGGACAUCAGACUGACCUCGUUUGUAUACAGUCCGUUCCACAUACAGGCUCUUGCACAUACACUUUGCGAGUCAGGAUUCUUCUACUUAGGAACUCCGGACCGCGUGCGAUGUUUCUACUGUGGCUAUGAAGAUACCGUCCGUGAUGGAGAGGUUAGACUAUGGAGGAUGCAUGCCCGGCAAUGCCCUUAUUGCCCAUUGGCCCAAAGACACUUACAAUAAACGACGAAUGACGUGUGUGCUUUAUGUUUCUCGUAAAAGUGUGUUUCCACGCGCUAUUGCAUUUAUGCAAAGCUAGAACGACGAUAACAUGUAUGUGUGCAAAGUAAGAACUUUGUUAAUAAUGAUGUAAUGUUACAUUCUGAGCGAAAUUUCCAUCCGAAUAAUUGAAUUUAUCACGUGUGUUAAUACAUUUUAUAUUUAAGUUGA